Molecule: ribosomal RNA, 253 nt
Filed under: uncultured bacterium
Lineage: Bacteria
Description: partial 16S ribosomal RNA
Rfam family: Bacterial small subunit ribosomal RNA
Source: RNAcentral
GACGAACCGUGCGAACGUUGUUCGGAAUCACUGGGCAUAAAGGGCGCGUAGGCGGCUUCAUAAGUCAGGGGUGAAAUCCGGCAGCUUAACUGUCGCAGUGCCUUUGAUACUGUGGAGCUCGAGGGAGGUAGGGGUCUGUGGAACUUCCGGUGGAGCGGUGAAAUGCGUUGAUAUCGGAAGGAACGCCGGUGGCGAAAGCGACGGACUGGAUCUCUUCUGACGCUGAGGCGCGAAAGCCAGGGGAGCAAACGGG